This 172-nucleotide small RNA is filed under the name Chelonoidis abingdonii (Abingdon island giant tortoise). Its description in RNAcentral is "TUC338 (ENSCABG00000008609.1)". The record is from RNAcentral. Lineage: Eukaryota; Metazoa; Chordata; Testudines; Testudinidae.
UUGAGAACCCUAGAGACAGGAGUCUUUUAUUUACAUGCAGAACAGACACAUCAGAGGAAGGAACAGUGCAAGCUUCCCAUGGCAAUGUGCCUCAACCCUGACUUUGGGGGACCAUCUCUAGAGAUGAGACAGGGCAAUUCAGUUCUGUGGCUCAUUAAAUCCUUGGGCUUUC